This 1062-nucleotide long non-coding RNA is filed under the name Lathyrus oleraceus (garden pea). RNAcentral describes it as "Pisum sativum (pea) long non-coding RNA (PSAT_LNC020097)". The record is from RNAcentral. Lineage: Eukaryota; Viridiplantae; Streptophyta; Magnoliopsida; Fabales; Fabaceae.
AAAAAGGUUUGCGUACGUAAAUGCAAAAGUUGUGCAUGUAAAAUAAAUACAUUCUUGUUUGUUUUAAAAGGGAUGAUGCGCCUGAUUAUAGAGUUUCUAAUACAUUGUCAUUCCAAAACUACCAUUAUGAAUACAAUAUUCAUUACAUUUCCUAAAACCCAAAUCUUGACCAAAAUUACAGUACAACACAAACUUUUUGUUUUACACGUAAUCGAGAACUACUUUAUUUCCAAAAGCUCCCCAGGAUCAAGUUUCGCUUCGUUCCAGCUUGCACAUACCGUACCGUCAUGACCUGCAAAAAGAUAAAAGCUUAAAUAAAAAAUUCUUAUUGCCAUAAGCACUUAACAGCUGAAAACAGUUAAAAUAAUUUAAUUAAGAGAAUGGUUUGCACAUGGGACCACAAAUGAGGAUUGGGCGAAGGAUGGAAAUUCCAUCACCAAGCAGUGGUAAUACCACCCGCGACCUCCCACCACUCACAGAAGAAUCCCACAAAGAUAGGGAUUGUACCAUCCAAAAAAAUCUACAAAAGAUUACAGCUCACCCCACUCUCAACGAUUUUUCGCACGAGUCAAUGAAAAUCCUAAAAAACGAACGAUUUCCACACGUAUCUCAUUUUCGAAUUCAUGCCUUAUAAAUACGACCACCACGUCAUUCGCAGGGGGGAUCUGAACGUUACGCUGCAGAAAUUAUUCACACCUAACCAACACUAGAGCUCAUUUUCCCCGUUAACCGCUCAAACUCAUCAUCAGAGUUUGAGCAAGGUUGAUCUAUAAACCAAAUCUCAGGCAAAGAAAGAGUAGGAGGCAACCCUAAAGAAAUCAGAGUAGAACUGCAUUACCUUCGAGUUUCAUUGUUGGAGUCUCUCCGAAUAGGUAGCCUUGAGUUUCUUCUUACCUCUUUUUAAAUUUGGCUUGAUGUAGAGCUUUUCUCACUGACCCUUUUUCUCUUGGAAAUUUCUUGAGACUUCUUCGAUUUCGGUUUUAAUUUUGAUUUUGUGUGAGCUAGGUUUUUUCCGUGUUAGGAAUCCCGAUCUGGGGUUUUGUUCGGGUUUUUGGUGGAUUU